CGGUAGUCGCCGGUAGUCGCCGGGCGGGAGCGCUGCCGGGGUCGGGGUGACGCAGCUCCGCUCUCCCCCUCUUUUCCCGUCCCCGGCGAGCCUCGCGAGGGAGCGCCGCGACCCCCGCCGCGGGCCCGGCCGCAGAAAUGGGUCAGGAUCCGACUGAGCAUGCUCGCGGGCUCGCGGCCGCGUCGGGCGCCCAGGUGGAACCAGCCGGGCCUCCGGUCGGGCCGCGCGGGGGCGGCGCAGGUGCGCGGUCCGGGAGCAGGCAUCCUUGACAAUUGCAUGAGGACACGAAGUUUUCACCUGCUUUUUCGAAGAUGAAGGCCUUGUCCUCACAGAUCAUUGCGCGGUGUUAAGAGUCCAUUUUUUCUUCAGUUCUUCCUUCCUCGGAGACUCCACGUUCUCCAGGACCCUGCAGAGCGCGCUCGCGCCGCCUUGGAUGCACUUGGGUGGGCGUGGGAACUUGCUGCUAGCCUUCGGUUUCGGAGGAGAAGACGGGAAUGGAGAGCUUCCAGGGAAGGGAGGCUACAGGCAGGAGCGGAGUAAACUCAGGAACCCAGAGAGAUGGUUUCAGGCUUGUCAGCUCCCCCAUCUCAGCUGUCCCCUGCUGCCUGCGUGUCUCCAGUCUCCCAAAGAACCACCACCGCUUGUCCUAGAAAGGGGAUCCAGGCUUGGAGCCAGCUGAUUGGAUUUGAGCUUUAAGCCUGGACACAGCUCCCAAGUCCUCAGCCCAUCAGCCACCCCCGAGACACUGAGGUUGACACCCAAGGAGAUGCCCACUCCAUAACCCUGGUACGAUGUCUAAGGAGCCACGAUCUGGAUUUGGAGUCCAGACGACCCUCACCCUUGACUCACUCGACCCUCCACGUGCCUGGCACAGAGAGCCAGCCACUAUUCUAAAGGUAAGGAAUUUCUAGAAAGAGCAGUAAUACCAGAGAUGAAAAUACUCAGCAGCUUGGCUAAACUCAA
Eubalaena glacialis (North Atlantic right whale) is the source of this 963-nucleotide long non-coding RNA. RefSeq lists it as uncharacterized. The transcript is spliced from 4 exons. NCBI's taxonomy places the organism in Eukaryota, Metazoa, Chordata, Mammalia, Artiodactyla, Balaenidae. The record is from RefSeq and is a predicted model, not a curated record.